RNAcentral lists this ribosomal RNA (497 nucleotides) under uncultured bacterium. RNAcentral's name for it is "partial 16S ribosomal RNA". It matches the Rfam family "Bacterial small subunit ribosomal RNA", at positions 28 to 507 of the family's 1533-position model. The record is from RNAcentral.
GAUGAACGCUGGCGGCGUGCCUAAUACAUGCAAGUCGAGCGAACAGACGAGGAGCUUGCUCCUCUGACGUUAGCGGCGGACGGGUGAGUAACACGUGGAUAACCUACCUAUAAGACUGGGAUAACUUCGGGAAACCGGAGCUAAUACCGGAUAAUAUAUUGAACCGCAUGGUUCAAUAGUGAAAGACGGUUUUGCUGUCACUUAUAGAUGGAUCCGCGCCGCAUUAGCUAGUUGGUAAGGUAACGGCUUACCAAGGCAACGAUGCGUAGCCGACCUGAGAGGGUAAUCGGCCACACUGGAACUGAGACACGGUCCAGACUCCUACGGGAGGCAGCAGUAGGGAAUCUUCCGCAAUGGGCGAAAGCUUGACGGAGCAACGCCGCGUGAGUGAUGAAGGUCUUCGGAUCGUAAAGCUCUGUUAUUAGGGAAGAACAAAUGUGUAAGUAACUAUGCACGUCUUGACGGUACCUAAUCAGAAAGCCACGGCUAACUACGUG